AGUACCUCGAGCUUGCGCACUGCAAUUCCCUGUCAUCCCUACCGGAUGUGCCGCAAGCAUACUCAUCUCUCCAAUAUCUUCGCAUUAUAGACUGCCCUGGUAUGAAGACCCUCCCUGCAAGCCUACAGCAAUGCCUUGGGAGCAUCCAGCAGGAAUACAUAGAUGCCCGUCUUUAUGAAAAUAAGCCUAUGCUGGUGAAGCCGAAGACAUGGAAGUAUGUCUGCAAAGGUUGAACUACCGUUUCCAAAGACUUGGAAGAGAUGUUGUCUGCAAAGAAUUAUUCGAGCACAUACAGACGGACGGAAAACAGAGACACAUGGAGUAGAAGUAUUGUCCUGCAAGACCUGCCAUGAUCAGAAACUGUUUGUUGCCAUGUCGUUUGUGACACCGUUGCCAGGAUUAGACACCUACAGGAAGCUUUCGAACACUAUUGUCUAUCAUUAACUUGAUCUUGUUUGAAUAAUUAGCAUGCGUAUUUCAACUUCUAUUCGCCUACGGGCUGUUAUAUCGUUGUAUUUGUUUUUCAAAAUUCUGGCCUAGCACUGUCAGUUUGUCGUCAAAAUUCUGUUAGUAUUUCCAU
Molecule: long non-coding RNA, 580 nt
Organism: Triticum dicoccoides
Lineage: Eukaryota; Viridiplantae; Streptophyta; Magnoliopsida; Poales; Poaceae
Exons: 3
Source: RefSeq, a predicted model, not a curated record